UGCGAGUUGAAUGGGAAACNUAAAGUUCCCAUGGCAAACUGCUCAGUAACACAUGAUCAACUUACCCUAUAGAGAAAAAUAACCUCGGGAAACUGAGGAUAAUGUUUCAUAGUUGAAUUGGCUUGGAAAAGUUUUUCGACGAAAGGGGUAAAAAGAAUGGUUUUUAUCUGCUAUAGGAUAGGAUCGUGUUCGAUUAUGGUUGUUGGUGAGGUAAUGGCUCACCAAGCCGAUAAUCGAUAGGGGCCGUGAGAGCGGGAGCCCCGAGAUGGGUACUGAGACAACGACCCAGGCCUUACGAGGCGCAGCAGGCGCGAAACCUCCGCAAUACACGAAAGUGUGACGGGGUUACCCAAAGUGUUCAAUUUUGAACUGUGGUAGGUGAGUAAUGUUCCCUACUAGAAAGGAGAGGGCAAGGCUGGUGCCAGCCGCCGCGGUAAAACCAGCUCUUCAAGUGGUCGGGAUAAUUAUUGGGCUUAAAGUGUCCGUAGCCGGUUUAGUAAGUUCCUGGUAAAAUCGGGUAGCUUAACUAUCUAUAUGCUAGGAAUACUACUAUACUAGAGGGCGGGAGAGGUCUGAGGUACUACAGGGGUAGGGGUGAAAUCUUAUAAUCCUUGUUGGACCACCAGUGGCGAAGGCGUCAGACUGGAACGCGCCUGACGGUGAGGGACGAAAGCCAGGGGAGCGAACCGGAUUAGAUACCCGGGUAGUCCUGGCCGUAAACGAUGCAUACUAGGUGAUGGCACGGCCAUGAGCCGUGUCAGUGCCGUAGGGAAACCGUUAAGUGUGCCGCCUGGGAAGUACGGUCGCAAGGCUAAAACUUAA
RNAcentral lists this ribosomal RNA (822 nucleotides) under uncultured archaeon. RNAcentral describes it as "bacterial SSU rRNA". It matches the Rfam family "Archaeal small subunit ribosomal RNA", at positions 52 to 859 of the family's 1478-position model. The record is from RNAcentral.